GAUGAACGCUGGCGGCGUGCUUAACACAUGCAAGUCGAACGGGAAGGCCCAAGCUUGCUUGGGUACUCGAGUGGCGAACGGGUGAGUAACACGUGGGUGAUCUGCCCUGCACUUCGGGAUAAGCCUGGGAAACUGGGUCUAAUACCGGAUAGGACCACUUCUUGGAUGUUGUGGUGGAAAGUUUUUCGGUGUGGGAUGAGCUCGCGGCCUAUCAGCUUGUUGGUGGGGUAAUGGCCUACCAAGGCGUCGACGGGUAGCCGGCCUGAGAGGGUGUACGGCCACAUUGGGACUGAGAUACGGCCCAGACUCCUACGGGAGGCAGCAGUGGGGAAUAUUGCACAAUGGGCGCAAGCCUGAUGCAGCGACGCCGCGUGGGGGAUGACGGCCUUCGGGUUGUAAACUCCUUUCGCUAGGGACGAAGCUUAUUUUGUGACGGUACCUGGAGAAGAAGCACCGGCUAACUACGUG
Molecule: ribosomal RNA, 468 nt
Filed under: uncultured bacterium
Lineage: Bacteria
Description: partial 16S ribosomal RNA
Rfam family: Bacterial small subunit ribosomal RNA
Source: RNAcentral